Molecule: long non-coding RNA, 688 nt
Organism: Pseudophryne corroboree (corroboree frog)
Lineage: Eukaryota; Metazoa; Chordata; Amphibia; Anura; Myobatrachidae
Exons: 3
Source: RefSeq, a predicted model, not a curated record
GCCUGUAUUCCCAGUGCCCAUGUUAUUCUGUCAGUGAGACAGCCGAUGUCUGGAAACAAGAUGCGUGCUCAGGAUCAGUUCCUGAAAGUUAUGUUCGACCUUGAGAAGGUUCCACUUCAACCAGCUUUAUGCAAGAUAUCGUGGCAAAGGGAGUACAAUUGCGCCGAGUCCCGGAUGCGGCUCCCUUAUAUGGAAUCCAAAACCUGCAAGAUCCGACGCUGGAUGAAAACAAUAUUGAGAUGUGGACAAAAUUAACUGGAAAUGAAUGUUAUUGAGGUUAAUAAUAUUACUGUAGGAACAAAAACACCCCCAAAUUCUGUGAUUUUAGCUGUUUUUUGUUUUUUUUUCAUUUAAAAAACAAAUACAGAUCCAAAACAAGAACCCAAAACCUGAGAUCUGGGCCGGCGCACAACCCUUAUAUAUAUGUAUUUAUUUAUUAACAGUUUCUUAUAUAGCACAGCAAAUUCCAUUGUCCUAGACUUCUGUUGCCGGCCCUACAUGUACACUUACACACUAGGGUUACUUUUGUUGGGAGCCAAUUAACCUACCAGUAUAUUUUUGGAUUGUGGGAGGAAACCGGAGUACCCGGAGGAAACCCACGCAAGUACGGGGAGAAUAUACAAACUCCACACAGAUAGGGCCAUGACCUCUGUGCUGUGAGGCACUGUGCUGACCAUUACAUCGUCCU